GAUGAAGAACGUAGCGAAAUGCGAUAAGUAAUGUGAAUUGCAGAAUUCAGUGAAUCAUCGAAUCUUUGAACGCACAUUGCGCCCUCUGGUAUUCCGGGGGGCAUGCCUGUUCGAGCGUCAUUAUAACCACUCAAGCUUUCGCUUGGUAUUGGGGCUCGCGGUUCCGCGGCCCCUAAAAUCAGUGGCGGUGCCUGUCGGCUCUACGCGUAGUAAUACUCCUCGCGAUUGAGUCCGGUAGGUCUACUUGCCAGCAACCCCCAAUUUUUACUGGUUGACCUCGGAUCAGGUAGGGAUACCCGCUGAACUUAAGCAUAUCAAUAACGAGGA
RNAcentral lists this unclassified non-coding RNA (327 nucleotides) under soil metagenome. RNAcentral describes it as "partial contains 5.8S ribosomal RNA, internal transcribed spacer 2, and large subunit ribosomal RNA". The stretch from base 1 to 120 matches the Rfam family "5.8S ribosomal RNA", at positions 35 to 154 of the family's 154-position model. The record is from RNAcentral.